Oryzias melastigma (Indian medaka) is the source of this 403-nucleotide long non-coding RNA. RefSeq lists it as uncharacterized. The transcript has 3 exons. The record is from RefSeq and is a predicted model, not a curated record. Lineage: Eukaryota; Metazoa; Chordata; Actinopteri; Beloniformes; Adrianichthyidae.
UACAAAGCAUCAUCUGAAGAAUUGCGUGUCCUUCAUGGAGAUCAACACCAGAUAGAGGAGAGAGCAGAGGCAACGAGGGUGACUAAUAUGAGGCAGCAAGACAUCUAGCUGGGUUACAGAGAUAUGGAAGUACUGCUGAAAGAGCCGUCAUUCAGACUUAGUAAGGUAAAGAUUGCCGUUAAAAAAAAAAAAAAAAAGGACUGAAUGAUCUCAUGAACCCAGAUAUUGAGUUGUGUUUACAGAUGAUCUUAUAGAGCUCUUCAAAACAAAUAAAGCUGAUCUCGCAACAUCAUCCACAUCUUCUGUGGAUUAUAAAUAAGAUAAAGAGUCAAAGCUUCCAUGUGUAGUGGUGAGGCUGAAAACUUGAUGGUAGCUCCUCCCACAUGCGAGGGAGAGUCUAAGU